This 75-nucleotide transfer RNA is filed under the name Methanobacterium sp. Its description in RNAcentral is "tRNA-Pro". It matches the Rfam family "tRNA". Rfam says of the family: Transfer RNA (tRNA) molecules are approximately 80 nucleotides in length. RNAcentral also lists the same sequence under 3 other names. Lineage: Archaea; Methanobacteriati; Methanobacteriota; Methanobacteria; Methanobacteriales; Methanobacteriaceae. The record is from RNAcentral.
GGGGCCGUAGGGUAGCUUGGUCCAUCCUCCCAGCCCGGGGCGCUGGAGACCCGAGUUCAAAUCUCGGCGGCCCCA